RNAcentral lists this ribosomal RNA (906 nucleotides) under Ostorhinchus flagelliferus (coachwhip cardinal). RNAcentral's name for it is "partial 16S ribosomal RNA". The stretch from base 199 to 706 matches the Rfam family "Bacterial large subunit ribosomal RNA", at positions 573 to 1301 of the family's 2925-position model. The record is from RNAcentral. Lineage: Eukaryota; Metazoa; Chordata; Actinopteri; Kurtiformes; Apogonidae.
AGCCCACUAGCUAGCUCGCACCCCAAAAUGCAACACCUCACUAUAUAUAACCCCUAAUUAAACCCAAUAAACACAAGACCAAACCAUUUUCCCUCCCUAGUAUGGGCGACAGAAAAGGAAACGUCGAAGCAACAGAAACAGUACCGUAAGGGAACGCUGAAAGAGAAAUGAAACAAAUCAGUUAAGCACAAAAAAGCAGAGUUUAGACCUCGUACCUUUUGCAUCAUGAUUUAGCAAGAAAACAUCAAGCAAAGAGCACUUUAGUUUGAUUCCCCGAAACCAAGUGAGCUACUCCAAGACAGCCUCUAAGGGCGCACCCGUCUCUGUGGCAAAAGAGUGGGAAGAUCUUUGAGUAGAGGUGACAGACCUACCGAACUUGGUUAUAGCUGGUUGCCCAGGAAAUGAAUAGGAGUUCAGCCUUUUGCCCCCUUUCCACACAUGCCGAUUACACCUAAAGCAUUUAAGUAGGACAAAAGAGUUAGUCAAAGGGGGUACAGCCCCUUUGAAAAAGAUACAACUUUACCAGAAGGGUUAAGAUCACAGCACUCACUAAGGGAAUGUGUUCUAGUUGGCCUAAGAGCAGCCACCCACACAGAAAGCGUUAAAGCUCAAACACCUCCCCACCCCUAUUAUACGGACCACAUUAAUCUUACCCCCCUAAACAUACUGAGCCUUCCCAUACCCCUAUGGGAGAGAUUAUGCUAAUAUGAGUAAUAAGAGAUCUCGCAUCUCUCCCUGCACAAGUAUACAUCGGAACGAACUAACACCGAAAAUUAACGGCCCCAAAAAAGAGGGAACUGAAAUAUUAUGGCCAGGCCACUAGAAGACCAUCCACCUCACUAAACCGUUGACCUUACACCAGAGUGCAUACAAGGAAAGACUAAAAGAAAAAGAAGGAACUCGGCA